GAUGAACGCUAGCGGCAGGCUUAAUACAUGCAAGUCGAGGGGCAGCAGGUCUGUAGCAAUACAGAUGCUGGCGACCGGCAAACGGGUGCGGAACACGUACAGAACCUUCCUUCGAGCGGGGAAUAGCCCAGAGAAAUUUGGAUUAAUACCCCAUAGUAUAUUGAAAAGGCAUCUUUUUAAUAUUAAAGAUUUAUCACUUGAAGAUGGCUGUGCGGCUGAUUAGAUAGUUGGCGGGGUAACGGCCCACCAAGUCUGCGAUCAGUAACUGGUGUGAGAGCACGACCAGUCACACGGGCACUGAGACACGGGCCCGACUCCUACGGGAGGCUG
RNAcentral lists this ribosomal RNA (330 nucleotides) under uncultured Bacteroidota bacterium. RNAcentral's name for it is "bacterial SSU rRNA". It matches the Rfam family "Bacterial small subunit ribosomal RNA", at positions 28 to 351 of the family's 1533-position model. Lineage: Bacteria; Pseudomonadati; Bacteroidota. The record is from RNAcentral.